Molecule: long non-coding RNA, 378 nt
Filed under: Nicotiana benthamiana
Lineage: Eukaryota; Viridiplantae; Streptophyta; Magnoliopsida; Solanales; Solanaceae
Description: long non-coding RNA (NBEN_LNC020182)
Source: RNAcentral
ACCUUCAGUUUCUCUUCUUAUAGCACUCUCUUUAAUCUCCGGGCAUAUCUCAGAGAUUGAUCCAUUAUCAAGGGUUUGAUGCCGAGAAAUUGAAGUUGAGUUGUCCAGACCAGAUACCCUUACAGAAGAAAUCAACAUGUGACCCUGUUUGCUGGUCUCUGGUUCUUCCUCGAUCUCUGGGCUUCUCUUAUCAAAUUGGUCUUCUUCAGGAAUCUCCUUGAAGUGGUCCCCCUUACAGAAGAAAUCAACACGUGACCCUGUUUGCUGGUCUCUGGUUCUUCCUCGAUCUCUGGGCUUCUUUUAUCAAAUUGGUCUUCUUCAGGAAUCUCCUUGAAGUGGUCGAAUUCUUGAGACACCGACCGAACAGCUGCAUCAAAU